RNAcentral lists this ribosomal RNA (483 nucleotides) under uncultured bacterium. RNAcentral describes it as "partial 16S ribosomal RNA". It matches the Rfam family "Bacterial small subunit ribosomal RNA", at positions 28 to 507 of the family's 1533-position model. The record is from RNAcentral.
GAUGAACGCUGGCGGCGUGCCUAACACAUGCGAGUCGAACGGAGUCGUUUUGGAAAUCUCUUCGGAGAUGGAAUUCUCGACUUAGUGGCGGACGGGUGAGUAACGCGUGAGCAAUCUGCCUUUAAGAGGGGGAUAACAGUCGGAAACGGCUGCUAAUACCGCAUAAAGCAUUAAAUUCGCAUGUUUUUGAUGCCAAAGGAGCAAUCCGCUUUUAGAUGAGCUCGCGUCUGAUUAGCUAGUUGGCGGGGUAACGGCCCACCAAGGCGACGAUCAGUAGCCGGACUGAGAGGUUGAACGGCCACAUUGGGACUGAGACACGGCCCAGACUCCUACGGGAGGCAGCAGUGGGGAAUAUUGCGCAAUGGGGGAAACCCUGACGCAGCAACGCCGCGUGAUUGAAGAAGGCCUUCGGGUUGUAAAGAUCUUUAAUCAGGGACGAAACAAAUGACGGUACCUGAAGAAUAAGCUCCGGCUAACUACGUG